Non-coding RNA from Cinara cedri, 732 nucleotides. The record is from the annotation of a GenBank genome assembly. NCBI's taxonomy places the organism in Eukaryota, Metazoa, Arthropoda, Insecta, Hemiptera, Aphididae.
ACAAACAGUGAUAAGUAUAAUUACUAAUUAAGUUGAAGUGUUGAUCAGUAUAAUAUAUUGUUUGAUAGUAUAUAAGGUGUAAUAGGUGUAUAGGUGUAAUACUAUUUAACAAAUGUAAUAAUUAGGGCCCGAAAUUAUAUGCACUAAAAACUAUCAACGAAAAACGCAAAAAUAUGCAAACAAAAAUGCAUUUUAAUUAAAUUUAUUUAGUUUAAAAAUGUAUACAAUUCAUUAAAUAAUUAUAUUAAAUUCCGUAAAUAUCUUACGAACCAUAGGUAUACAUGGACGGUAAAACCAACGAACAAUAGUAAGACAAUUGGGUAUGAAACACUUAGGUAUUCGACAAAAACGCGAUGAAAAAUCGUUAAAUAGAGAAAUAUGCAGUACACAUCAAAAAAUUGCAAAAUAUGCAAAAUAAAACUGCGUAUUUCGGAUUUAUUGACUAUAAUUCUAACUUGUAGCUUAUCUAGCUACUUUUUGGACGGCUAAAAGAAACAUGCAAAUGCGUAUAAACCCGGGCCUUAAUUAAUUACUUUUUUUCUAUUGAAUAUUUAUUUGUGACUCUGCGCUAUAAUUUUUUAAUUUUAUUUAUACUUUUUUAGUAGUGAAACAAAAAUAAAAAAAUUUAGAUUUUUAUAAUCCAUGUAAGAUUAUAAAUAAACUUUUAAAACAAAUUUUCGGUGUUUAAAACGUAAUUAGUUAACGUGAUAAAUUUUUAAAAAAUUUUUAAUU